RNAcentral lists this ribosomal RNA (111 nucleotides) under Porphyra purpurea. The record is from RNAcentral. Lineage: Eukaryota; Rhodophyta; Bangiophyceae; Bangiales; Bangiaceae.
CUUUUUUAACUCACUAGGGAUCCCAAAGUAAAUUAGUAGAUCUAGUAAUAUUUUUUACGGUUGAGUGCUUAUGGAAUCACGUAUUUAAAAAAAAAUAUUUUAUUAAAAAAA